UACGGAGGGUGCAAGCGUUAAUCGGAAUUACUGGGCGUAAAGCGUACGUAGGCGGCUUGUUAAGCAAGAUGUGAAAUCCCCGGGCUUAACCUGGGAACGGCAUUUCGAACUGUCAGACUAGAGUGUGGUAGAGGGUAGUGGAAUUUCCUGUGUAGCGGUGAAAUGCGUAGAUAUAGGAAGGAACACCAGUGGCGAAGGCGGCUACCUGGACCAACACUGACACUGAGGUGCGAAAGCGUGGGGAGCAAACAGG
RNAcentral lists this ribosomal RNA (253 nucleotides) under uncultured microorganism. Its description in RNAcentral is "partial 16S ribosomal RNA". It matches the Rfam family "Bacterial small subunit ribosomal RNA", at positions 524 to 776 of the family's 1533-position model. The record is from RNAcentral.